AGGCACGGAGUGAGGUUUCAGCCUGGCCAGGUGCUACGGCUGAGGGCUGACUGCCUCAGCACAGCCUGUGCAGCAAAAGCCUGGAGCAGGCUGAGAACUGGAGUGGGGAAUGGGGGAGUCACUGAGCAGGGCUUGUGGCAGCAUGUGGUGCCAUAGGGGGCUCCUGGAAAGCAACCCAGAGUGAGGUGGGUCUACAAGGAGGACGCCAUUCACCAGGUGGGGCAGAUCCAGAGAGGCUAGUUCUCAAAUUUUGCAUAAGGGUUCUCCUCCUUGAACAGGCCGUAUUUCCUUCGGAUUUCAUCAUGCCGUGACUUCAUCUCUGCUCUCCUCUCCUCCUGGCGCACUCGCCUGCGCUCCCGCUCCCGGGCAGCUCGUUCAUCCUCCUUGUCUGGCUUUUUGCUCUUCUUCUUACAACAGCAGCAGCAGCAGACAAGCAGCAUGAUGAGGAUCAUUCCACCCACCACAGACAUGGCGAUGAUCAGGGCUUCAAAAUUCACCCAGCAGACACCCCAGCGUGCAGAGCGGAGCUCACAGAGGUCAGCAGGUGGGAGGAUCCUCCGGACAGGGUAUGGCACACACCUCCUGCUGCUGGCACACCACAGGCAGGUGACAUUCUUCAGGCACUCCUCGCAGCUUCUGUUUGUGUACUGCUGACAUUCCCCCGCCGCCUCCUGCUGCUGCGCGGCGGCCGCGGGGAGCAGCAGCACCGCGAGCAACGCGACGCACAGCCGCAGCGCGGGCGGCGGGGCCAUGGCGGCACCGGCACACGGGGGCGGUGGGGCGGCCGCCGCCUUUCUAGGGCCGCCGGGGUGGGGCGGGACCGACGGGGGCGUGCCGGGGGCGGCCCCGAGCUGCUCGGCCCCGGGGCGCGGAGCGCCGCGGGACCCCCACGCGCGGCGGCGUGCGCGGCGGCCGCGGGAGCGGCGGGGCGAGGCGCGUCCCCGCUGUCGCCGUCCGUCCCCGCGGCGCCGGUCCGGGCGCAGCCCCGCCGCGCGUGGGCGCCGCCGCGCGGGUUUGGUGUCGGCACGGGGGGAA
RNAcentral lists this long non-coding RNA (1035 nucleotides) under Gallus gallus (chicken). Lineage: Eukaryota; Metazoa; Chordata; Aves; Galliformes; Phasianidae. The record is from RNAcentral.